RNAcentral lists this long non-coding RNA (824 nucleotides) under Pan paniscus (pygmy chimpanzee). RNAcentral describes it as "lncRNA (ENSPPAG00000045615.1)". Lineage: Eukaryota; Metazoa; Chordata; Mammalia; Primates; Hominidae. The record is from RNAcentral.
GUACACCAGGACUGAGAGGCUUUGCCCUCAAUCCUACCCAAUUCCAGAAGAGCGCUUGCUGCGUCCUCCUGAGGCUACAGAGUGAACAAAUGGCGUUGUCUGCCUUCAACCUGCGAGCAUGUGGACGGGGCACAGGAAACUGGCUUCCCGGAUGCAUAAGCAUCAUAAAACACUUUGCACAGGCCUCCUUUCGCUGGGACCAUCCACGAAGUGUCGGGAACACCAGGCAUCCCUCUGCAUCCUUGCUGUCCAUCUGUGUCUCUCCGUGCCCAGGGCGGCAGCUUAAGAAUGAUAGAGAAAGGACAAGAAGAGACAGGAAAAGAAAAUACUAGAUGCAGAGCAAAUCUUCAGGGUGAGUAUUGUCUUGUGACACUUUUGUUUCAGGUACUUGAUACACACAUUUGUGUACUGGACUGCAGGUAAAGAUAUAUUUGCUACUGUGAGUUGUGCUGAAAAAAAUUUAAAAGACCUGUCUUAAGCAAAGACAAAUCUGAUGUCAUCACUUGGGCAGCUUUGAGUCCAAAAUCCAGCCAAGGAAGUGAGUGCUGAGAGAGUCAUCAGGCGAGUUCAGGAAUGCCUUCUUCAUUCGAGUCACAGGAUGGAGUCAGGGCACCAACAUGGUGCCCUCAGACAGGUCUAACCCCAGCUCUUCACUUAGUACCUUUCAGCCUCUCCAAGCCCCGCUUCCUAACCCUCAGCAAGUGGACUGGGUACCAAAAGGGCCAGGCUUUGUUCAGUGCUAACCUCCAGGGCUCUUUACCUCCUUGACUGUUUUAAGGCAGCCUUUGGCUUCCUCAGCAUAGGGAGGGGCUGAGGCCAGUGCC